CUGCUUGUUGCCCUCCUUUUCACCCUAUCUAAUACUGGGGCAGGGAUAGAUAAAGAGGAUGUGAUUUAUUAUGCAAAUUAAAUGCUCACAUAGCUGGGAAAUUCUGCACAGUUGCAGAUGGAAGGCUCGAUCCUGUUGGGGAAUGAACCAGACCUUGGAGGAACCUAAGAAUGACAUCCUGGAUGUGAUACUGAAUGCUGCUUAGAGUGACAAUCUGUAUAUAACAUAUUCCCAGUAAAGAAGAGCAUAGGCUGGUGUAGGUUUUCAGAGCAAUAAUCCAAAUAAAUAAUGAGCAAGUACUUUUUUGACUAUUUCGGAUUUAGAAGAUGCUUUCUUUUGCAUUCUGGUGGAUGAGCAGAAAUCCAACAAUGGGAAGAAAGAUGCAGGACAGUACUACCACAGAGAUCAAGAAACAGCUCUACUCUCUUUGGUAAUGUAGUUGCAAAAGAACUGGAACAAUGGUCAGGUAAUGAUAACAACAUAAUUCCAUGCCAAUAUGUGAAUGAAAGAAGGUUGAUUGGCAGAAAUACUGAGACAUUCAAAAAUGAAAAACAAUUUCUGCAGUUUGGUGGAUAAAUCUGUUGGGAGGAAUGGGUUAAAGGUGAGGAAUGUUAUCAACAGCUCAAGAGACUCUGCAGCUGGGAAUAAUCCUUCAUAAAGCAGAGUGAACAGCAGCCCAGUGAGGCUGUAGCAUGGAGAAGUUCAACAGUGUCUGUGUGUGCCUCUGCCUGGGUGUUGCUUUGGGGAUCCCCCAGUUAGCAGGACAAUGGAAACAGAUUUGCUCUAAGUGUUUAAACUGUGGGUUUGUGGUAUUAUGGUUGGCUGCCUGUGAACUUUGAAUCAUGAACUGUGAAUUGACAAAUUCUCACAACCACUAGAAAAUCAAUCUGCCGUGCAAAUAAUCCUAAAAUCCCUGUAGGACUGGUAAAAAUGGGAAUAGCUCCAGGGGAAUACUGGCAAAUAGAUUUCUCCAAGAUAUCUAAAUGUAGAUGUUAUAAGGAUCUGCUAGUUUUGGUUGAUACUGUUUCAGGAUGUGCAGAAGAUUUCCAUUGCUGCACCAGUUGAGCCAGGGAGGUUGUUAAAAUUUUUAAUAAAAGAAAUAAUUCUUAGAUUUGUAAUUCCAGAGAUUUUAUCUUCAGACAACAGAGGUGGUUCAGGGAUUGUCUACUUUCCUUUGUUUAAGGGGCAUUUGCACACCCCUCAGAGAAAACAAUCUAAUGAAAAAGUAGAAAGGUUGAAUCAAGACAAAUUGUCAAAUUUUAGGUAGAUGUAUUAUCUGUUGCUUUACUGAGAAUCCAGAUUACUCCAUGUGCUAGAGAGGGAGUAAACUCCUUUGAAAUUCUGUAUGGCAGAUUACACCCAAUUAAUACUGUGGUGAUGAAAGGUGAUCAAAUGCAUGUGAAAGAUCAUGAUAUAUCGAGAAAUUAUCUAUUAUCUCUCUCUCUCAUGGGUUUUGUCCUCUUUGAAUGGUACCUCAACCCUCUCUCCCUUCCUUUGGAUGUGGCUGUCCACAGCUUUCAAUCAGGAGACACUGUUUAUAUCCAGACCUAGAAGGAUGAACUUCUGGUGGGAAAGAAAAUGUUUCUCUCCAACGUUGCUGCCGCAGCUUAUGGGCUGCAAUGGGAAACUAAAAAGCACCAAUAUCUUUCUAUCCUGGCUCUUUUGUGUGGGAACAUUUGGCUGACUUUUUCAUUUUUGGAGCUGCAUCUUGUGCUCGGUGACAAAGCACCAGGAUACAUUUAGAUUGUUAGGCAGAUGCAUACCACCAUCUAGUGGUGUUCUGGAAAGGCACCGGGGGAAGGUAAAGAGCCAGCUCUUGCUCAUCUGCACUUUCCCUUUCCACCCUCUAAAGGGUACCACCAAAUCUGAGGCCAUGCAAUCUCCUUCCCAAAAUUGUGCCAUCUCAUACUUCCACUCCAGGAAAAGCCCAGCUCACAACUGAAGAAGUCCAGCAACUGCUCCCACAGAAAAAGUGCCAGGACAGAAAGCUGAUGCUCGCCUUCUUUCUCCAUGGAGUCUAUAAGCUGCACUAGCAACUCUGGGGAUAUGUGCUUUCCUUCCCACCUAUAUAUACCAUAACGUUAUUUACUCUCAGCAGACUCCAGCUCAAAAAUUGAAAACAUCCAGAGACUGCUUGCAUAAAGAAGUUUCCAGGCAGAAAGAUGUUGCUGGCACCUUUUCCUUGUAGACUGUCAAUUGCACCACCAAUACUGAGGCCAUGCACUUUCCUUGCCAGCUAAAUCAUCACACAUGAUCACUCUGGAGAGAAACCAUCUCCAUACCAGAAAAUGCUCAGCAAUGGCUCCUACACAAAAGGCUGAAGGACAGAAGGCUGUUGCUGGACUUCACUCUGCCCUGCAGCCGAUAAAUUGCACCAAAACCACUAUGGUUAUGUGCUCUCCUUAAAUCUACUGUUAGGAAACUUUCCUGUCUGACCAGCCAGCAGCCACUCUGGCAGUCACUCCCAGCUCCAGAUACUGUUAUUGCUGGGACUGAGGCCCCUUCACAAAGAGUGGCUCCAGUGAUCCCAUGGGCACCCCUCCUGCUCCCCACACUCACACAGUCAGAGCAGGUUCCCUUACUGGAUCAACCCUCAGUUUCCCAUAGCAGAGCCCCAGAUAUCUGGGCAGGGUUGGGGCACACGGAGUGCAGCUUGGUGUGAUGGGGAAGGGCUGUGGGGGGAUUAAAAGUAGAAAUGGAAGGCCAGCAACAGCUCUGUCCUGUCACCUUUACUGUGGGAGCAGCCACUGAACAUUUACAGUUUUAGAGGUGGGCUCCAGAAUGAGAGUGCGAGGGUGGGAACAGGGCAUAUAGCCCCAGUGUUGGUGGGACACUUCAGGAAAUAACUCCAGAAAUAGUGCAAAUUUAGUUGCCCAGCCAACAAAAUGGACAAUGACACUCUCUAAAACACCACAAGCAUAGCUCCAAACUUGAAAACCUCCAGUGAUUGCUCCUACACAAAAUUUACCCAGAGAAAAAGCUGUUUGCCUUCACCUUCCCUUGCAACUUAUAAACUGCAUGACCAGCACUGGGACUCUAUGCUUUCCUUCCCACCUAAAUGUACUGUCACAGUAUUUACUCUUGUCAGAGCCCAGCUCCAAAAUUGAUAGCUCCCAGGCACUACUACCACACAAAAUUUAUCAGGAGAGACAGAUUUUGCUGGUGUUUGCAUUCCUGCUGUCCCUGUUCCACAGCACCACUAGAUGGAGUGAUGCACUUGUCUAGGAAAUUAGAUGUACCCUGGCACCAAAUAUAGCUCCAAAAUAGAAAAUGUCCAGCCACUACUACUCCCCACAAAAAAACGGCCAGGACAGAGAGCUGUUGCUGGCUCUAGGUCUAUGCAGAAAGUGAUCUGAGGGAUGAAAAGUGAUCAAAAGUGUACAUGAGGGUCCCUGGGUUUCAAGGAAGGGCACUCAGAGGACCAUGGGGUGCACAGGAUGACAUUUGGUUCUCAAAUCCACACAGAAAGGGACAUGAAGGGUAAGAGAUGAACACACAAUAGUGUAAUUCCCUCUUGCCCCCUGCCCCCAUCCCCCUUACUUCUCUGAGUUUUGUAACAUUUGGUUGGUAGAGAUGAAGCCAGGACAUGAUGCACGUGUGCAGUCAGGGAGAGGCAUGCUGGCCAUUGCCCACUAACCCUGGGUAAUAUGGCACCAACCUAAAAUGCUAUUGCAGCAGCACUGGAUUUGAUAAUUCCAGUUCAUAAACCAAAUGCUUUCUGUAAAACACUACUUCUAUUGUAGGUAUGGCCAUAGACUUCCAACUUUCAAGAGUGAGACUUUUAGGGUUAAACAACAAAGGAACUAAAACAAACUGAGGUUACGUGGAAUAACACACUGCAAAGAAGUCCUCUGGAAAGCAAGAUCAGAGCCCUGAAAGCCACCUGUGGUUAGCCUAAAAUUGUUGAUGCAUUUACAGUUGUUGCUUUAAUUUGUAGUGUGUAAAAAUUAAAAACCAGUGCCCAUAAAAACUACCAAACAGCUCUGAUGCUUUAAAAAAACUCAACUGAAUUUUCAUAUAUCAUGUUUCAUUCUAACUAAUUUACUUUUUGUGAAGUUUAGGUAGAAAGCAGCUGAGAGCACUUGCUGCACAUUAAUAGUUGCUGCUGUUUGUAAAACUGUAUGUCAUAGAAUUAUGAAGAAUUCUGCUUUGAAGAAUUAAAACUAUGGUUGCAUAGAUGUGGGCAAAAUUCUAGAGAAACUUUGCCACAAGUAACUUGCAUUUCAAAAUUAAUCUACUUCAGCAAAUGCUUAUACCCUUUCCAGAACUGCUUCUUCCAAAUGCAAAGGCUACUUGAAUCCACCUUCAAAAAAAUUAAUAGAAGAAAUUCAAUUUUACAUGCAUGGGAAGUUGUAGAAAGUGAACUUGGAUUUCAGUGAAGUGAAUAUUUUUCCUGAAAAUUCUUUGUAAUAAAAAUUAUACUAAUUCUGCCAUGUAACAAAAUUGAUAUCAUGUGAGCAAUUGCAACUCCCCAAUACAGCACAAAGAAGAGUGAUAAAUAAUUGCAGUGAAUGCUUUUUAGCUCAAAAAACUAAACAUACACAUAUAUAUGGAUUGAUACAUUUGCAUAGAUGAGAUUAAUAGGCAAAGAAGGUAGCUCCUUGAUAAAUAGUUCAGAACAGAGUCAUUUUUAUUUGUUAGCUUGAUUGACUGGAUAGAUUCAAUCCAGACAAAUAGAGAGGGUUGAAUUGUUAAUUUUGGAUGACAUGCUGAAUUCUAGCAUAUCUGAGAAAUGCAAUGGUCUAGGGUACAAUGGAUCAAAAAAGUUUUUUCUUAUGAAAUUAAAGAAAAUUUUCUGUUACUCCAAAGUAUAGGAACCUAACUGGGAAAUGUACCUAAAGAAUUACUUUUAAAAAACAGUGAAAUGGGGCAGAAUUUAAUGCUUCCCAGUGUAAUACCUCAUGACCUAUAGAAAAAACAUGAAGAAAAUAACCACUCACCCAAUCAUUCCCCCCAACUCCCAAGCUUUCAGUUAUGAAAGUUAUGUCAGGACUUCCACUUUUUCAAAACUUCCCCAGGAUACCUUUCCUAACUAUCCUAAAAACUUGGGAGUUGGGGAGACUAUGUCAGUGUUUUAGGGUUUCUUUUUUUAACUUUUGGACUUUUGGGGUAUUUUUCUUGCCCUUUGCAUUGUGUCUGUAUGUCUCUGUUUUUGUGAUUCAUGUGUUUUGUUUCUUUGCCCUGUGGUCCCUUGGCACUUCAUUUUUGCUGUCAUCUAUAUCAGUUUGUUUUAUUGUCUUUACAGUUAGGGUUAGUUCUUUCUCAUUCAGAUCCUUGUGCCUUGAAAACGACCCUUGCAGUCUUCCCUCCCUCCUUUCCCUAAGUAAAAAUCAUCUCUAGUGCUGGAAAUCAGAUCUUCACAAGCCUGAAACUUGUCUACAUUAUUAGGUGAGUAUCACCUUUAAAAGGAGUUAUUGCAUUCACAAAACACAAGGAAAUGCCUGCAUAUACAAAUCUGCAUUCAAGGAACUUAACUCAUGUUGUGAAUGUGGCAUACAAAACUGGUAGAAGCUAGAAUUAAGCCUGCUUGUGCAGCCAUGGUUUGGUCCACUGAUUAUGUUGCAGUAAGGCCUGGCAUUGCUGGACUCCCGUCUUUCCUCACAGGCCUUUUGUUAUUCAUGAGCUGCUGCAGUUUGUUUCAUGACAAGUGUCCAAUUUCUACAGACUUCAAAAAGUUAACUUUCUUAAUGAGAUUUUCUUCCCAGCUCUGUAUUCUUUAAUUCCCUUGAUUACUUCCUUAUCUCCUACAUUUAAUAAUUGCCUUCAGAAUAGCCUGACAUGAUAUAUGAAGACUGUGUGGAAGAAGGUGAUGAUGGUCAGUCCCACAGCAGGGCAGUGGGCAAAACAACCUAAACACAGGGUUGUUUUGCUCUUGUGACAGUCUCCAGCCUUGCUCACCUUUCCCAGCCUAUUGGCAGCAGCCUCAGUCACUGCACAGCCCUGCUGCACUUUGAUAAAGCUCAUCCAUGUAUUUUCUUACUGUUUCGCCUCUGGUCUUCCCAGUCUGUCAAUGAUCCUGUUUCAACUUCAGGCUGCCCCUCCCUGUUCAUUGUGCACCCAGGUCACCCUUUACUGCUCACUCUGCCUUGCCAGCCUCCACUCCCCACUGGGCAGUUCAAAGGUGGGUAGUGGGCCAGUGAGAGAUGGAUAAAUUCCAGCACAUUGUGACUAAGCAGGUGCUCACCACUGGGAGCCACUGCCAGUGUCAGCUCCCAUGAGAUCCUCCAGGACUUUCAUGCCUGAGCCUUUAAUCCUUUUCCAGCAGUCAUAAAACUCCAGUUUGGCCAAAUACUCCCCUAAGCCAGAGAAGGCUUGAGCCACUGAGAGAUUUGAGCAGAUAAAAUGCUCCUCAGAUUCUCAUUGCUAGGAUAUAGGGAAAUGACCUUCUGAAAUUCCCUGCUUAGUGGAAACUCUUUGUUUGUAUCACCACAAUGGAGCUGGUUAGAAUUGCCAAAGCUUGGCAUCCACACCAAUUGAUCUUUGGCAGGAGUGAAUAGCAAGAAAGGGUAUCUGCAGCAGCACCUGCACUUCUAUCUGACUUACACUGAACUAGCAAUUGCUUAGUUUUUGAAUCUCAGGUCAUUUAAGCAAAAAAAAAAAAAAAAAAA
This is a long non-coding RNA of Taeniopygia guttata (zebra finch), 6608 nucleotides long. The record is from Ensembl. Lineage: Eukaryota; Metazoa; Chordata; Aves; Passeriformes; Estrildidae.